UCCUACGGGGCGCAGCAGUAGGGAAUAUUGCUCAAUGGGGGAAACCCUGAAGCAGCAACGCCGCGUGGAGGAUGCCGGUUUUCGGCUUGUCCCCUCCUUUUGUUCGCGCCGCUCCUGACGGUAUCUAACGAAUAAGCACCGGCUAACUCCGUGCCAGCAGCCGCGGUAAUACGGAGGGUGCAAGCGUUACUCGGAAUCACUGGGCGUACAGAGCGCGAAGGCGGGAUAGCAAGUC
RNAcentral lists this ribosomal RNA (235 nucleotides) under uncultured bacterium. RNAcentral's name for it is "partial 16S ribosomal RNA". It matches the Rfam family "Bacterial small subunit ribosomal RNA", at positions 337 to 589 of the family's 1533-position model. The record is from RNAcentral.